UACAGAGGUGGCAAGCGUUGUUCGGAAUUACUGGGCGUAAAGGGCGCGUAGGCGGCCAUCUAAGUCAGACGUGAAAUCCCCCGGCUUAACCUGGGAACUGCGUCCGAUACUGGUUGGCUUGAAUCCGGGAGAGGGAUGUGGAAUUCCAGGUGUAGCGGUGAAAUGCGUAGAUAUCAGGAGGAACACCGGUGGCGAAGGCGGGUCUCUGGGCAGUAACUGACGCUGAGGAGCGAAAGCGUGGGGAGCGAACAGG
Molecule: ribosomal RNA, 253 nt
Filed under: uncultured bacterium
Lineage: Bacteria
Description: partial 16S ribosomal RNA
Rfam family: Bacterial small subunit ribosomal RNA
Source: RNAcentral